UAGGGAAUCUUCCACAAUGGGCGCAAGCCUGAUGGAGCAACACCGCGUGAGUGAAGAAGGGUUUCGGCUCGUAAAACUCUGUUGUUGAAGAAGAACGUGCGUGAGAGUAACUGUUCACGCAGUGACGGUAUUCAACCAGAAAGUCACGGCUAACUACGUGCCAGCAGCCGCGGUAAUACGUAGGUGGCAAGCGUUAUCCGGAUUUAUUGGGCGUAAAGCGAGCGCAGGCGGUUUUCUAAGUCUGAUGUGAAAGCCUUCGGCUUAACCGGAGAAGUGCAUCGGAAACUGGAUAACUUGAGUGCAAGAGAGGACAGUGGAACUCCAUGUGUAGCGGUGGAAUGCG
RNAcentral lists this ribosomal RNA (343 nucleotides) under uncultured Lactobacillus sp. Its description in RNAcentral is "bacterial SSU rRNA". It matches the Rfam family "Bacterial small subunit ribosomal RNA", at positions 355 to 690 of the family's 1533-position model. The record is from RNAcentral. Lineage: Bacteria; Bacillati; Bacillota; Bacilli; Lactobacillales; Lactobacillaceae.